UUUAUACUUAAUAUAAAAAGAAGAUGUGGUAUGAUUGCCAAUGAGACAACUGUCCACAAAAGACCAAAAUGACACAGACAUUAACAACUAUAGGUCACGUACGGCCUUCAACAAUGAGCAAAGCCCAUACCGCAUAGUCAGCUAUAAAAGGCCCCGAUAAGACAAUGUAAAACAAUUCAAACGAGAAAACUAACGGCCUUUUUUAUGUAAAAAAAAAUGAACGAAAAACAAAUAUGUAACACAUAAACAAACGACAACCAAUGAAUAUACAGGCUCCUGACUUGGGACAGGCACAUACAUAAAUAAUGUGGCGGGG
This 316-nucleotide long non-coding RNA is filed under the name Mytilus galloprovincialis (Mediterranean mussel). Lineage: Eukaryota; Metazoa; Mollusca; Bivalvia; Mytilida; Mytilidae. The record is from RNAcentral.